This 592-nucleotide ribosomal RNA is filed under the name Trichiusa ursina. RNAcentral describes it as "partial 16S ribosomal RNA". It matches the Rfam family "Bacterial large subunit ribosomal RNA", at positions 1850 to 2712 of the family's 2925-position model. Lineage: Eukaryota; Metazoa; Arthropoda; Insecta; Coleoptera; Staphylinidae. The record is from RNAcentral.
AAGUCUAACCUGCCCAAUGAGUAGUUUAAUGGCCGCAGUAUUUUGACUGUGCAAAGGUAGCAUAAUCAUUAGUUUCUUAAUUAGAUACUGGAAUGAAAGGUUGGACGAGAAAAUAGCUGUCUCUUUAUAAAUUAGUUAGAAUUUUAUUUUUAAGUUAAAAAGCUUAAAUAUUUUUAAAAGACGAGAAGACCCUAUAGAGUUUUAUAUAAAUUUAUCUAAAAAUUUAAAUUGGUAUUUUUAAAAUUUUAUAUAAAUUUAUAUUUAAUUGGGGUGAUUAAAAAAUUUAAAAAACUUUUUUUUUAUAAAAACAUUAAUUUAUGAUAUAUUGAUCCAUUAAAAUAAUGAUUAAAAGAUUAAAUUACCUUAGGGAUAACAGCGUAAUUUUUUUUUAGAGUUCAAAUCGAUAAAAAAGUUUGCGACCUCGAUGUUGGAUUAAAAUUUAAUUUUGGUGUAGAAGCUAAAGUAUUUAGGUCUGUUCGACCUUUAAAAUUUUACAUGAUCUGAGUUUAAACCGGUGUGAGCCAGGUUGGUUUCUAUCUUUAAAAAAUCAAAGUAUUUUAGUACGAAAGGACCAAUUACUUAUAAAAUUUAU